AAGGGUUCUUGUAGUUGAAU
RNAcentral lists this transfer RNA (20 nucleotides) under Polypedates leucomystax (Java whipping frog). RNAcentral's name for it is "partial tRNA-Glu". The record is from RNAcentral. Lineage: Eukaryota; Metazoa; Chordata; Amphibia; Anura; Rhacophoridae.